Molecule: ribosomal RNA, 509 nt
Filed under: uncultured bacterium
Lineage: Bacteria
Description: bacterial SSU rRNA
Rfam family: Bacterial small subunit ribosomal RNA
Source: RNAcentral
GAGGACACGCUGGCGGCGUGCUUAACACAUGCAAGUCGAACGGUUCAAGGAGCAAGUUUACUUGAUACUUGGAUAGUGGCGGACGGGUGAGUAACGCGUGGGUAACCUACCCUAAACACCGGGACAACAGCUGGAAACGGCUGCUAAUACCGGAUAAGCUCAUUGAGAGGCAUCUCUAAAUGAGGAAAGGUGGCCUCUUUUAAUGCUACCGAUUAAGGAUGGAUCCGCGUCUGAUUAGCUAGUUGGUAAGGUAAGGGCUUACCAAGGCGACGAUCAGUAGCCGGCCUGAGAGGGUGACCGGCCACACUGGGACUGAGACACGGCCCAGACUCCUACGGGAGGCAGCAGUGGGGAAUCUUCCGCAAUGGGCGAAAGCCUGACGGAGCAACGCCGCGUGAAUGAAGAAGGCCUUCGGGUCGUAAAGUUCUGUUGAAAGGGAAGAAGUCUCUUUAUGUGAAUAAUGUAAAGAGGUGACGGUACCUUUUGAGGAAGCUCCGGCUAACUACGUG